GGAGGCGGGGCGGAAGUCCCGUCGUGCCGUGCGCGGCCCCUCCUGCCUGCUGGUCUGGGCUAGCCGCGAGCGAGAGGGCGGCGGGCAAGAUGGCGGCCGAGGCGGACUCCUGGGACGCGGACACCUUCGAGGCGCCGGACCCGCUGGCCGGGCUCCUCGGGCCCACCCCUGCCGUGGUGACCAGGGACCGCUGGGCCGGCGAGGACGAGGACGACGACGUCAAGGACAACUGGGACGACGAGGAGGAGGAGCAGCAGGAGGAGGACGAGAAGGAGGGCGAGGCCAAGCCAGGUGAGCGGCCGGGCGGCGGGUCCCCGGGAGCCCCGCGGGAAGCCCCCGCCGCCGCCGCCGCCUCCGCCGCUAACCCCGUGCCUCUCCGCAGAAUCCAAAGUUUCCGACAAGAAGAAAGUAGCCGAGAAGAUAAAGGAGCGGGAGAAGCUGCUGCGGAAGAAGCAGGAGGAGGCCAAGAAAAGGUUAGAGGAGUCGGAAGACUCGAAAGACCUGACGCCGGAAGAGCAGCUGGCAGACAAGCUCCGGUUGCAGAAACUGCAAGAAGAGGCGGACCUGGAGCUGGCCAAAGAAACCUUGGGGGGGGGGGGGGGGGGGGGGGGUCGUUUUGA
Molecule: long non-coding RNA, 620 nt
Organism: Notechis scutatus (mainland tiger snake)
Lineage: Eukaryota; Metazoa; Chordata; Lepidosauria; Squamata; Elapidae
Source: Ensembl